CGCCUCUUGCAUAAUAUAAGAAUAAGAGGUCCCGCCUGCCCUGUGACCGCAAGUUUAACGGCCGCGGUAUUUUGACCGUGCAAAGGUAGCGCAAUCACUUGUCUUUUAAAUAAAGACCUGUAUGAAUGGCAUAACGAGGGCUAAACUGUCUCCUCACCCUAGUUAAUGAAAUUGAUCCUCCCGUGCAGAAGCGGGAAUUAACUCAUAAGACGAGAAGACCCUGUGGAGCUUUAGAUGAACAGAUGAGUUUGUUAACAAUUAAACCUUGUGAAAGAUAAUAAACCUACAACCUCAUCUUAAUAUCUUUAGUUGGGGCGACCGCGGAGUAAAACAAAACCUCCGUGAGGAUUGAGGUGAAAACCUUAUACCCAAGAAAGUCAUUUCUAAGUACCAAAAAAUUUGACCUAUAGAUCCGGCAAUGACCGAUCAACGAACCUAGUUACCCCAGGGAUAACAGCGCAAUCCUCUUUAAGAGUCCCUAUCGACAAGGGGGUUUACGACCUCGAUGUUGGAUCAGGACAUCCUAAUGGUGUAGCCGCUAUUAAGGGUUCGUUUGUUCAACGAUUAAAGUCCU
RNAcentral lists this ribosomal RNA (574 nucleotides) under Hippocampus barbouri (Barbour's seahorse). RNAcentral describes it as "partial 16S ribosomal RNA". It matches the Rfam family "Bacterial large subunit ribosomal RNA", at positions 1816 to 2597 of the family's 2925-position model. The record is from RNAcentral. Lineage: Eukaryota; Metazoa; Chordata; Actinopteri; Syngnathiformes; Syngnathidae.